Molecule: ribosomal RNA, 440 nt
Filed under: uncultured bacterium
Lineage: Bacteria
Description: partial 16S ribosomal RNA
Rfam family: Bacterial small subunit ribosomal RNA
Source: RNAcentral
CCUACGGGAGGCAGCAGUGGGGAAUAUUGCACAAUGGGGGAAACCCUGAUGCAGCGACGCCGCGUGAGUGAAGAAGUAAUUCGGUAUGUAAAGCUCUAUCAGCAGGGAAGAAAAUGACGGUACCUGAGUAAGAAGCCCCGGCUAACUACGUGCCAGCAGCCGCGGUAAUACGUAGGGGGCAAGCGUUAUCCGGAUUUACUGGGUGUAAAGGGAGCGUAGACGGCAGUGCAAGUCUGGAGUGAAAGGCGGGGGCUCAACCCCCGGACUGCUCUGGAAACUGUACGGCUGGAGUGCAGGAGGGGUAAGUGGAAUUCCUAGUGUAGCGGUGAAAUGCGUAGAUAUUAGGAGGAACACCAGUGGCGAAGGCGGCUUACUGGACUGUAACUGACGUUGAGGCUCGAAAGCGUGGGGAGCAAACAGGAUUAGAUACCCGUGUAGUC